Molecule: long non-coding RNA, 1091 nt
Filed under: Salmo salar (Atlantic salmon)
Lineage: Eukaryota; Metazoa; Chordata; Actinopteri; Salmoniformes; Salmonidae
Description: lncRNA (ENSSSAG00000094558.1)
Source: RNAcentral
AGAGAUUGAAGAAAGGGAGGCCGGGAUGGAGGGAUGGCUGGAGAGAGAGAGGGAAGGGAGAGUUAAGCCUUGGACUUGUGACGUUUAUAGUACAAUGGAGAGAUUGAAGAAGGGAUAGAAAGGAAGAGAGGAAAGGUUGGGUAAAGGGAAAGAGAGCUAGAGAAGAAGACAGGAGAGUGAAGGGAAAGACAGAAGUGGGUGAUGUGUAUCUCUACAUUAAAGCCAGGGCACUGUUCAGGUCAUAUGUGACAUACAUUGGCUUUUGCCAUUAGAGCCUCUUAAACAGUAGCUACCUAUAGCUUAUCAGCAGGCUACUGAAGGGCUUUUCUAUUGGUUACUGAGAACGCCAUGGAAAUAGAAGUACUAAUUACGGGGAUCUCAAUUCAAGUCAGUGUGCCAUGAUGGGGCUUUUCUUCCUUCUAGUAUUUUUAUUUCUAUGGAGAAAGCCAUUUCAUAGAGAGCAUAGAUAGAGCCAUUGGCACGCUUAGAUGUAUCUCUGUCUUUGUGUGACCAACCAGGUUCCAACCCUGGUCACAAGACUGUGUUAGCGUUCUGAGCUAAAGCCUCGGCUUUACUUCCGUUACGUACACAGUUUAAUAUAAAAAAGGAGGGAAGAGAUACAUGACAUUUUUUUUAACAAUAUUAGUUUAAUUCUCUUUCUGUUACAAUGCCAUGGGACAAUUAAAACAUUCAAAACAAUGUUGUUUUGUGACUCUGUGUCCCAUUUAAAUAACAAUCAACAUGACAAUUACUCACUUGAAACACCAUCUGAGGGAAUUGCUUCAGUUGGUCCCCCAGGUGGCAUUGCCACAGAACUGUUAAUAACAGCCCUGGAACAGAUUUAACACAUCAACACAACAAGUAUGUCUCGAUGAAAUCAAAUGGGUUUUAGGGGGUUUUGUUUCACAGCGAGGUGGGUCAGUGAAAUAGGGUCUGUGUGUGUGUGUGUGUGUGUGUGUGUGUGUGUGUGUGUGUGUGUGUGUGUGUGUGUGUGUGUGUGUGUGUGUGUGUGUGUGUGUGUGUGUGUGUGUUGAAGUGUUUCGUCUCGGAGCAAGUGACGGGGGUUCAGUGUCUCGCAGGGAUGUCACGCU